Molecule: ribosomal RNA, 402 nt
Filed under: uncultured Sphingomonadaceae bacterium
Lineage: Bacteria; Pseudomonadati; Pseudomonadota; Alphaproteobacteria; Sphingomonadales; Sphingomonadaceae
Description: bacterial SSU rRNA
Rfam family: Bacterial small subunit ribosomal RNA
Source: RNAcentral
UAGGGAAUAUUGGACAAUGGGCGAAAGCCUGAUCCAGCAAUGCCGCGUGAGCGAUGAAGGCCUUAGGGUUGUAAAGCUCUUUUACCCGGGAUGAUAAUGACAGUACCGGGAGAAUAAGCCCCGGCUAACUCCGUGCCAGCAGCCGCGGUAAUACGGAGGGGGCUAGCGUUGUUCGGAAUUACUGGGCGUAAAGCGCACGUAGGCGGCGAUUUAAGUCAGAGGUGAAAGCCUGGAGCUCAACUCCAGAACAGCCUUUGAGACUGGAUUGCUAGAAUCACGGAGAGGUGGGUGGAAUUCCGAGUGUAGAGGUGAAAUUCGUAGAUAUUCGGAAGAACACCAGUGGCGAAGGCGGCCCACUGGACGUGUAUUGACGCUGAGGUGCGAAAGCGUGGGGAGCAAACA